GUGCUUGGUUUGGCAGCACAUAUUCUAAAAUUGGAACAAUACAAAGAAGACAAGCAUGGCCCCUGAAGAGUACCAUAUUUUAAAAAGAGAGAAUUAAAAUAUUAAA
Small nuclear RNA from Sorex fumeus (smoky shrew), 106 nucleotides. Lineage: Eukaryota; Metazoa; Chordata; Mammalia; Eulipotyphla; Soricidae. The record is from RefSeq and is a predicted model, not a curated record.